ACAUGCAGUCGAGCGGUAGAGAGAAGCUUGCUUCUCUUGAGAGCGGCGGACGGGUGAGUAAUGCCUAGGAAUCUGCCUGGUAGUGGGGGAUAACGUUCGGAAACGGACGCUAAUACCGCAUACGUCCUACGGGAGAAAGCAGGGGACCUUCGGGCCUUGCGCUAUCAGAUGAGCCUAGGUCGGAUUAGCUAGUUGGUGGGGUAAUGGCUCACCAAGGCGACGAUCCGUAACUGGUCUGAGAGGAUGAUCAGUCACACUGGAACUGAGACACGGUCCAGACUCCUACGGGAGGCAGCAGUGGGGAAUAUUGGACAAUGGGCGAAAGCCUGAUCCAGCCAUGCCGCGUGUGUGAAGAAGGUCUUCGGAUUGUAAAGCACUUUAAGUUGGGAGGAAGGGCAGUAAAUUAAUACUUUGCUGUUUUGACGUUACCGACAGAAUAAGCACCGGCUAACUCUGUGCCAGCAGCCGCGGUAAUACAGAGGGUGCAAGCGUUAAUCGGAAUUACUGGGCGUAAAGCGCGCGUAGGUGGUUCGUUAAGUUGGAUGUGAAAUCCCCGGGCUCAACCUGGGAACUGCAUUCAAAACUGUCGAGCUAGAGUAUGGUAGAGGGUGGUGGAAUUUCCUGUGUAGCGGUGAAAUGCGUAGAUAUAGGAAAGGAACACCAGU
Molecule: ribosomal RNA, 665 nt
Filed under: uncultured bacterium
Lineage: Bacteria
Description: bacterial SSU rRNA
Rfam family: Bacterial small subunit ribosomal RNA
Source: RNAcentral